UACGUAGGGGGCUAGCGUUGUCCGGAAUCAUUGGGCGUAAAGCGCGUGUAGGCGGCCCGGUAAGUCCGCUGUGAAAGUCGGGGGCUCAACCCUCGGAAGCCGGUGGAUACUGUCGGGCUCGAGUACGGAAGAGGCGAGUGGAAUUCCUGGUGUGGCGGUGAAAUGCGCAGAUAUCAGGAGGAACACCUAUUGCGAAGGCAGCUCGCUGGGACGUAACUGACGCUGAGACGCGAAAGCGUGGGGAGCAAACAGG
This 253-nucleotide ribosomal RNA is filed under the name uncultured bacterium. Its description in RNAcentral is "partial 16S ribosomal RNA". It matches the Rfam family "Bacterial small subunit ribosomal RNA", at positions 524 to 776 of the family's 1533-position model. The record is from RNAcentral.